RNAcentral lists this ribosomal RNA (48 nucleotides) under uncultured Hysterangium. RNAcentral's name for it is "partial 28S ribsomal RNA". The record is from RNAcentral. Lineage: Eukaryota; Fungi; Basidiomycota; Agaricomycetes; Hysterangiales; Hysterangiaceae.
GACCUCAAAUCAGGUAGGACUACCCGCUGAACUUAAGCAUAUAAAUAA